Molecule: ribosomal RNA, 466 nt
Filed under: Gemella morbillorum
Lineage: Bacteria; Bacillati; Bacillota; Bacilli; Caryophanales; Gemellaceae
Description: bacterial SSU rRNA
Rfam family: Bacterial small subunit ribosomal RNA
Source: RNAcentral
GACGAACGCUGGCGGCGUGCCUAAUACAUGCAAGUCGAGCGAAGUUUUUCUGGUGCUUGCACUAGAAAAACUUAGCGGCGAACGGGUGAGUAACACGUAAAGAACCUGCCUCAUAGACUGGGACAACUAUUGGAAACGAUAGCUAAUACCGGAUAACAGCAUUAACUGCAUGGUUGAUGUUUGAAAGUUGGUUAUGCUAACACUAUGAGAUGGCUUUGCGGUGCAUUAGCUAGUUGGUGGGGUAAAGGCCCACCAAGGCGACGAUGCAUAGCCGACCUGAGAGGGUGAUCGGCCACACUGGGACUGAGACACGGCCCAGACUCCUACGGGAGGCAGCAGUAGGGAAUCUUCCGCAAUGGGCGAAAGCCUGACGGAGCAACGCCGCGUGAGUGAAGAAGGAUUUCGGUUCGUAAAGCUCUGUUGUUAGGGAAGAAUGGAUAUGUAGUAACUAUACAUGUACGAGACG